CUCUUUCCCCAUUCCCACUCCGCAGUGUCCCCGGCGCCCCGCCCACCCACCCACUUCGCCGGCGGCGGGAGGAGCUUUGGCCGGAGCCUCCCCCGCCGCCGCCGCCUCCACCACCCUCACCGCCGCAUCGCCGCAGGAGGAGGAGGAGGGAGGAGGCCAUGGGGCACGGGGUGAGCUGCGCGCGCACCGGCGACGAGCACGACUUCUUCCGCGCGGCGCAGCUCGGGGACCUCGACGCCCUGGGCGCGCUCCUCGCCGCCGACGCCUCCCUCGCCCGCCGCGCCACCCUCUACGACCGCCUCUCCCCGCUCCACAUCGCCGCCGCCAAUGGCCGCCUCGAGGCGCUCUCCAUGUUCCUGGAUCGCGGGGCGCAGCCGGACGCCGUGGAUCGGCACAAGCAGACCCCCCUGAUGCUCGCCGCCAUGCACGGCAAGAUCGGCUGCGUGCUCAAGCUCCUCCAGGCCGGCGCAAACAUCUUGAUGUUCGACUCGGUGCACGCGCGGACCUGCCUCCACCACGCGGCCUACUACGGCCACGUCGACUGCCUGGACGCCAUCCUCUCCACGGCGCGGACCACGCCGGUGGCCGGCUCAUGGGGGUUCGCCCGGUUCGUCAACGUCAGGGACGACCACGGCGCCACGCCGCUGCACCUCGCCGCCAGGCAGGGCCGGCCGGGCUGCGUGCAGGUGCUGCUGGAGAACGGCGCCAUCGUGUCGGCAUUGACCGGAUCAUACGGCUUCCCUGGUAGCACGUCGCUGCAUUUGGCCGCUCGCAGCGGGGACUUGGAUUGCAUCCGGAAGCUGCUUGCCUGGGGAGCUGAUCGGCUCCAAAGGGACUCUGCCGGGAGAAUCCCCUAUGUGGUGGCACAUAAGCGCAACCACGGGGCAUGCGCGGCAUUGCUGAACCCUUCGUCGGCAGAGCCUAUGGUGUGGCCUUCCCCGCUCAAGUUCAUCAGCGAGCUCGACCCGGAAGCCAAGGCUCUGCUGGAAGCGGCCCUGAUGGAAGCCAACAGGGAGAGGGAGAAGAAGAUCCUGAAGGACGCAAAGUGCUCGCCGCAGUCCCCUUUGGUGUACGAUGAUGAUCACAUCGACGACGACAUGUUCUCGGAGGUGAGCGACACGGAGCUGUGCUGCAUCUGCUUCGACCAGGCGUGCACCAUCGAGGUGCAGGACUGCGGGCACCAGAUGUGCGCGCCCUGCACGCUGGCGCUGUGCUGCCACAACAAGCCCAACCCGGCGACCCUGACAAUGCCCUCGCCGGCCUGCCCGUUCUGCCGCGGCAGCAUCUCACGGCUGGUGGUGGCCCGUGCACAGACAGCAGACGGCGGCGACCCCGACAGGCCAGCCUCCCCGCAGCUCGCGCACCGGCGGUCCCGGCGCUCCCACAACCUCAGUGAGGGCAGCAGCAGCUUCAAGGGGCUGUCCUCGGCCAUCUCCAAGAUCGCCCGCGGCUCGAGCCGGAUGGCCGAGAGCGACAGCGCUGCCAUGGACAAGCCCGAGCACGAUCCGUGACCGAGGCAGAACACACAGAUUUCGGACCUCCACAGCCUCUGAAAACCCCAGAUGAUGAGAAGAGAAGAGAAAAAGGAAAAAAAUCCAUGGAAGCUCUAGGUAGGAACCAAAUAAGCACCCUCCAUUUCCACCCAUCCUUUUGUUUGUGUGCCCUGUAUUUUUGGAGUCGCCGGCCGGCCAAUCUUUCGGAAAUGCAUAUAGGCUGAGCUCUGUGAUGAGAUGAGAUGAGGGGAGCUGUUCAUCAUCAUGGAGCCUGGUGUUGGCGAAUGAUGCCGGCAUCUGAUCUGACUGCUGCUGCUGCUUCACGGUUCAAUGAUCUCUGAAUCUGGCCUGCCGCGGCCAUGCCAUGGCAUGUGGGCGCUGUCCCCCCGCUGUCCUGUGCGUGCGUUGGAUCACGGCCAUUUUUGGACCUUAAUGCCUCUUGUUUAAUGGCAGCGCGGCGGCAGGGUGGCCCGGUCCUGUCCUUGGAUGGAUCGCCAUGACUGACUUUGGCUGCUGCUGCUGCUGCUGCGGUGCUGCCUAGAUGAGUUGAUGGCAUUGUAGACUGCCACUUUGAUCCGUGACUGCUUGCUGUAAUGUUUCCUUUGUCCGUGUUGCAACUGUAUCUUCAAAUGUCGCUCAAUUUUACUACUCCCUCCGUUCCAUUUCAUAAUAUAAGAGUGUUUCUUACACUAGCGUCAGUGUCAAGAACGCUCUUAUAUCAUGAGACGAUGCACGAGGAAAGUAAAAAUAUCCUUGGAACUUGCUUGUUAUCCUGUAGUAAUUUUAUCCCGUCUGUCUCUG
RNAcentral lists this ribosomal RNA (2294 nucleotides) under Triticum aestivum (bread wheat). RNAcentral describes it as "partial small subunit ribosomal RNA". The record is from RNAcentral. Lineage: Eukaryota; Viridiplantae; Streptophyta; Magnoliopsida; Poales; Poaceae.